This 661-nucleotide ribosomal RNA is filed under the name uncultured bacterium. RNAcentral's name for it is "bacterial SSU rRNA". It matches the Rfam family "Bacterial small subunit ribosomal RNA", at positions 82 to 756 of the family's 1533-position model. The record is from RNAcentral.
GCUCUGUGGAUCAGUGGCGAACGGGUGAGUAACACGUGAGCAACCUGCCCCUGACUCUGGGAUAAGCGCUGGAAACGGCGUCUAAUACUGGAUAUGAGCUGCGACCGCAUGGUCAGCAGUUGGAAAGAUUUUUCGGUCUGGGAUGGGCUCACGGCCUAUCAGCUUGUUGGUGAGGUAAUGGCUCACCAAGGCGUCGACGGGUAGCCGGCCUGAGAGGGUGACCGGCCACACUGGGACUGAGACACGGCCCAGACUCCUACGGGAGGCAGCAGUGGGGAAUAUUGCACAAUGGGCGAAAGCCUGAUGCAGCAACGCCGCGUGAGGGAUGACGGCCUUCGGGUUGUAAACCUCUUUUAGCAGGGAAGAAGCGAAAGUGACGGUACCUGCAGAAAAAGCGCCGGCUAACUACGUGCCAGCAGCCGCGGUAAUACGUAGGGCGCAAGCGUUAUCCGGAAUUAUUGGGCGUAAAGAGCUCGUAGGCGGUUUGUCGCGUCUGCUGUGAAAUCCCGAGGCUCAACCUCGGGUCUGCAGUGGGUACGGGCAGACUAGAGUGCGGUAGGGGAGAUUGGAAUUCCUGGUGUAGCGGUGGAAUGCGCAGAUAUCAGGAGGAACACCGAUGGCGAAGGCAGAUCUCUGGGCCGUUACUGACGCUGAGGAGCGA